AAAGCGUGCGCAGGCGGUUAUGCAAGACAGAGGUGAAAUCCCCGGGCUCAACCUGGGAACUGCCUUUGUGACUGCAUAGCUAGAGUACGGUAGAGGGGGAUGGAAUUCCGCGUGUAGCAGUGAAAUGCGUAGAUAUGCGGAGGAACACCGAUGGCGAAGGCAAUCCCCUGGACCUGUACUGACGCUCAUGCACGAAAGCGUGGGGAGCAAACAGGAUUAGAUACCCCGGU
RNAcentral lists this ribosomal RNA (230 nucleotides) under uncultured bacterium. RNAcentral describes it as "partial 16S ribosomal RNA". It matches the Rfam family "Bacterial small subunit ribosomal RNA", at positions 562 to 791 of the family's 1533-position model. The record is from RNAcentral.